UGGUGUCCUUAGUUCUGGAACUCUGUCCUGGUUCAAAAGGUACUGCCUGCUGUCUUCUCUGUUGCUGAUUAGUUGGGACAAAUUUUCUGAGAGAGGAAGUGCCACAAGACGCUUGACAGCUGUGACAUUCAUGGGCAACGCAUUUGAAAAAGAAGGCAUAAAUAUUCAGAGACAUAUUAGAAUGCUGUUCAAUAAUAUCUUUCCCUUGGGUAACUGAAGGAAAAACGGAUAAAGGAAUGAAGACUAAAAAAUGUAUGACCUCAUGAUAUCUUUAUUUGUGACAGUAGAAAGGAUGAUAUGCAACAUACAACACAAUGAAAAAAAUAGAUUAAAAAAAAUAACGUAACCAAAAAGUAAUCUGUAAUCUUU
This is a non-coding RNA of Meleagris gallopavo (turkey), 369 nucleotides long. Lineage: Eukaryota; Metazoa; Chordata; Aves; Galliformes; Phasianidae. The record is from RefSeq and is a predicted model, not a curated record.